GUGGGGAAUAUUCCGCAAUGGACGAAAGUCUGACGGAGCAACGCCGCGUGAGUGAUGAAGGUUUUCGGACUGUAAAGCUCUGUUGUUUAGGACGAAAGUGCCUGUUGCGAACAGUUACAGGUAUUGACGGUACUAAACGAGGAAGCCACGGCUAACUACGUGCCAGCAGCCGCGGUAAUACGUAGGUGGCAAGCGUUGUCCGGAAUUAUUGGGCGUAAAGAGCAUGUAGGCGGAGCUUUAAGUCUGUUGUGAAAAUGCGGGGCUCAACCCCGUAUUGCGAUGGAAACUGAAUUUCUUGAGUGCAGGAGAGGAAAGGGGAAUUCCCAGUGUAGCGGUGAAAUGCGUAGAUAUUGGGAGGAACACCAGUGGCGAAGGCGCCUUUCUGGACUGUGUCUGACGCUGAGAUGCGAAAGCCAGGGUAGCGAACGGGAUUAGAAACCCCGGUAGUCC
This 450-nucleotide ribosomal RNA is filed under the name uncultured bacterium. RNAcentral describes it as "partial 16S ribosomal RNA". It matches the Rfam family "Bacterial small subunit ribosomal RNA", at positions 354 to 796 of the family's 1533-position model. The record is from RNAcentral.